This 352-nucleotide long non-coding RNA is filed under the name Physcomitrium patens. RNAcentral's name for it is "long non-coding RNA (PPAT_LNC013085)". Lineage: Eukaryota; Viridiplantae; Streptophyta; Bryopsida; Funariales; Funariaceae. The record is from RNAcentral.
UUUCUAGAAAUCCACAAAGAUAUUUCUUGGCUCCAAAGGCAUCCCUCUUAAUUGUUCUUUAUGUCUCUCAUGGAUAGGUUUCACAAUAAUAAACUGCAUAGCUUUUCUUCUAUCCCAACUACAAAUCCUUGCAUAAUGUGAACCAUCAUCCAAGUUUCUAGUUUCCAUUCUAGCAGUUUUAAUAUAGGGUUGACCAAGUAUUUCCGAAUAUGUAGCAAAGUUUUACACGUAGAAGUUUUGCUUCACUUCCACAUCUCCAAUCCUAGUCCUUACAACUGGGCAAACUCCAUAUAAAUCACCUUAUUGGUUGUUUGCAGCUCUAAUUAUCCAACUAUGAUUAGUAUCAACUAGC